GUUGGUUCAACAUGUAACUAGGUUUCCACAUGCUGUUGGUUCAACAUAUAACCAAGUUUCCACAUGCUGUUGGUUCAACAUGUAACUAGGUUUCCACAUGCUGUUGGUUCAACAUGUAACCAAGUUUCCACAUGCUGUUGGUUCAACAUGUAACUAGGUUUCCACAUGCUGUUGGUUCAACAUAUAACUAGGUUUCCACAUGCUGUUGGUUCAACAUGUAACUAGGUUUCCACAUGCUGUUGGUUCAACAUGUAACCAAGUUUCCACAUGCUGUUGGUUCAACAUGUAACUAGGUUUCCACAUGCUGUUGGUUCAACAUGUAACUAGGUUUCCACAUGCUGUUGGUUCAACAUAUAACCAAGUUUCCACAUGCUGUUAGUUCAACAUGUAACUAGGUUUCCACAUGCUGUUGGUUCAACAUGUAAUAAAGUGUUCACACCUGACUUUUGCUUGCUCAUGUUACUAUGCCCCAGGAUAUUUACCUCAACCAUGACAAAUUAGAAUGACUUGUUCACAGAGGGGAUUAGUAUCUCAGGUAUACAUGCCAAAAGGGUUCUGUCAGGGUGGCUUUGUGUUCUGUGCAUUGUGUUGUCGUACCUUUAAGUCUUCGUUGCCAGUUUUUAUAUUAUUUAUUUAUGUUAUAUUUUCUGUUUAUUUGUGAAUACUACAUAUUGAUUACUGACAAUGUUUGAAAUAUUUUAUUUGUUCUCUCUUUACUAGUUUAUCAUGUGUGUAGUUUUCCAGCACUGCCGUACUAUCUGUGUAUUGUAUUGUACUGAACUGAACUAGUUCAUCCCUCAGCCACCUUAUAGAACACGUCCUGUGUUUGCUGGCUAUGUAUAUCAAAGUAUAUGUGCUCUAACAUCCAAGUCUGUGCAACCUGUGGUCUUGUAGCACCAUGGGUACCUAGGUUUGCUUUUCUUGUACAUUGUAUUAUUUGAUUUGUAAAUUAAUCAUCACUCUUAUUUAUGUGUAAUCAGUUACAGCAACAGGCCUUUCUUUACGCCCUAUUUUAUACACCGUGUUGUAGAACCUGCACAACUCCUAUAGUUUGAACAGAAGUGUGAUGGUUAAGGUAUCCAACUCUAUAGUGUGAACAGAAAGUGUAACGGUUAAGGUAUCCAACUCUAUAGUGUGAACAGAAAGUGUAACGGUUAAGGUAUCCACUUGAAUAGAAGUGUUUAAUCAUUCCUUUUAUCGUGUGAAUACAUCAUACAGCAUGGCUUCUGAAAUGACUAGCUUCUACAGCAGCCAAACACAGUAUUUCAGUUUCAUCUGCCAUCAUCCAUCAGAAUGAACACGAAAUGUUUGUAUGUUUUUCCGUCAGUACUAAACAUGUCUAUCCAAGUUUCAAACCAUUUCCUAUCAGACUGUCAUUCUUUUCUCGCCAACACUUCCUACAUUACGUCCUGCCUCAUCAGUCACCAGUAUCUGCCCAGUUGAUCAUCAGUUCAAGGUUGUGUUAGAGAGAUAUGUAUUCAAGCUGAUUGUUCCUAAGUUCUUGUUGUGAAUUCUUGCCAGAUCAUCGUUUUAACAUCUUCCGAAAUCCAACUACUCAUUUUAAUACACAUCCAUGUUCUUGUUCAGCCAGAGCUUCACCAAUAAAUGGCAAAUAUAACACCAUGUUCAUAUUUUAGAAAAGUUAUGUAUAAUUAUAUUAAUGGCUAAUUGACAUGUUAUGUUGAAAUCGUAGAAAUUGAAUUAUCCAGAUUUGUAAUUUUGAUCUAAAUACAAUAAUGAUGUAGUCAUCUUCAACAGUAUCCUGACUUAACCAGAGACCCCAAUGUGUGGAAGGAUUGACAUCGAACAUUUUAUUGUGAUCAUUGAAUUUGCUCAUAUACUUGGUUCCAAGUUUUAAUCUGAUCUGUACCAGCUUGUGAUCAAAAUGGCUGCAUAUUAAUAUACCUGCUUGACAUCACGGUAUAGACUUUACUAGAAGUUUUCUCCAGGCCAGAGCAUGGUUUUAAAGGAGAGUGUGUUGCCUUGGGUAGUGUUGACAGUGUUUUGACUCGCAAGGUUUUAGGUUAAGUUACUUCAUAGGAGUAUGCCAGUCAGUCACCAUGCUUUGACAUUUUUUGAUUUGUGAAAAACUAAAAGACUGUCAUUGAAGUAAAACCUUUUUCAUAUUCAUGAUAUAUCUGUUGAAAAAGCUCUUUUAGAAUGAACACUUAUCUAUUCCAGUUCCAUUUUGGUACACAUACAGCAAGAAUGCCAAUGACAUUUGACUUAUCCAGGUUGACAUUUUACAGAGGUCUCAGCACUGCACUGUAACAAACAUUUGUACUACAGGAUAUGCUCAAAUACCCUGGUCCAUUUGAUAAAUUAUCCAUGGAAUGUUUUGAAUUUUAAGACAAUAUUAUUCUAUAUUACAGGGUAGAAGUCAAGAAGCCUAGUGAUUAAAGGGUUGACAUGUCCCACUGGGAUCCCAGAAUAUUGUGACAUUACUAGAAUAAUAAUAAUCACAGCAAAACAAAUUAUUGUUGCAUUAACAAGUUGAUUUUAUUUAGUCACCCAUAAGAUAGGCUUCAUAGAAAGUAUGAAAAACGUUUAAUGAGUUGUGCUGAGAUUUUCUCUGUCAAACUGGACCCUUAUCUGAAAUCCCAUCUCUCGUGCAAUAUUUGAGGAGGAACCCAAUAAGAUCACGUGACUGUGAUAUUCUAGACGAAACAUUCUGGAUGGCAUUAGUGUCAGUGAUGGUAUAUACUGUGAUAAGUGUGUUCGUUUGUGUCAUUUGCUUGGGGGUUACCAUUUCGUUGCAUAAUCUACUUACGAAUUAGAUCUGUUUUGUAAGUUCUGAAUAGAGAGUUAUUGUAAUAUAUUGUUUGUAAAUGACAUGUAAAUAUUCGAAUUUUUCUGUUGAUCAUCUGUUAUUAUCUGUACAAUUAUGCUGUAUGAAACAAAUAAACUAUUUAAUUUAA
This 2918-nucleotide long non-coding RNA is filed under the name Haliotis rubra (blacklip abalone). RNAcentral describes it as "uncharacterized LOC124290069". Lineage: Eukaryota; Metazoa; Mollusca; Gastropoda; Lepetellida; Haliotidae. The record is from RNAcentral.